This 167-nucleotide ribosomal RNA is filed under the name Cucumaria salma. Its description in RNAcentral is "5.8S ribosomal RNA". It matches the Rfam family "5.8S ribosomal RNA". Rfam says of the family: 5.8S ribosomal RNA (5.8S rRNA) is a component of the large subunit of the eukaryotic ribosome. It is transcribed by RNA polymerase I as part of the 45S precursor that also contains 18S and 28S rRNA. The record is from RNAcentral. Lineage: Eukaryota; Metazoa; Echinodermata; Holothuroidea; Dendrochirotida; Cucumariidae.
GUAGAACAAUUCUUGGUGGUGGAUCACUCGGCUCGUGCGUCGAUGAAGUACGCAGUCAGCUGCGAGAGUUAGUGUGAAUUGCAGAACCUCACUGAUCAUCGACACUUCGAACGCAAAUGGCGGUCCGGGGUUCCUCGCCGAGCCUCGGACCACGUUCGGCUGAGCGU